RNAcentral lists this ribosomal RNA (433 nucleotides) under uncultured bacterium. Its description in RNAcentral is "partial 16S ribosomal RNA". It matches the Rfam family "Bacterial small subunit ribosomal RNA", at positions 29 to 507 of the family's 1533-position model. The record is from RNAcentral.
AACGAACGCUGGCGGCAGGCCUAACACAUGCAAGUCGAGCGAGGACUUCGGUUCUAGCGGCGGACGGGUGAGUAACGCGUGGGAAUGUGCCCUUCUCUAUGGAAUAGCCCUGGGAAACUGGGAGUAAUACCGUAUACGCCCUAUUGGGGAAAGAUUUAUCGGAGAAGGAUCAGCCCGCGUUGGAUUAGGUAGUUGGUGGGGUAAUGGCCUACCAAGCCGACGAUCCAUAGCUGGUUUGAGAGGAUGAUCAGCCACACUGGGACUGAGACACGGCCCAGACUCCUACGGGAGGCAGCAGUGGGGAAUCUUAGACAAUGGGGGCAACCCUGAUCGAGCCAUGCCGCGUGAGUGAUGAAGGCCUUAGGGUUGUAAAGCUCUUUCAGCUGGGAAGAUAAUGACGGUACCAGCAGAAGAAGCCCCGGCUAACUCCGUG